CAUCCUAGAUACAGGAGUGGCUGCUUGACUGUACCAAUAGCACGAAGAGACCACGCCUAAACAAGACACCAACGGGACAGGGCGAUAAAAAUGAAGAGGGACUGAGGGAGGGAGGGAGGGCGCUUCUCUAGGCAGUAGUGAGGUGAGUGAGAGAGACUGAGGAGGCAUGUGACCCUCUUCACUCGCUUCACCCUGUUCAUCACUCGCUUGUACAAGAAGUCACGCACCAAACGGGCAAGGGCAAACACCACCAAAGAAGGCGAGAACGCACUCCGUCCCUCUCCUCCAGGACCGCCCGCUCUUAUCCCGUUUCUCCCUUCUCUGGGCUCGGAGAAUCGGAGAUGGCGUCCAGCGCCUCUCGGUUCAUCAAGUGCGUCACGGUCGGCGACGGUGCCGUGGGCAAGACAUGUAUGCUCAUCUGCUACACCAGCAACAAGUUCCCCACUGAUUACAUACCCACGGUGUUCGACAAUUUCAGUGCAAAUGUCGUUGUGGAUGGCACCACGGUGAAUUUGGGCCUGUGGGAUACCGCAGGGCAGGAAGAUUACAACCGACUGAGGCCUCUAAGCUACCGUGGUGCAGAUGUUUUCGUGCUUGCAUUCUCACUUGUGAGUCGAGCUAGCUAUGAGAAUAUCAUGAAGAAGUGGAUACCGGAGCUUCAGCAUUAUGCACGUGGGGUGCCUGUUGUGUUGGUAGGCACAAAAUUUGAUCUUCGUGAAGACAAGCACUACUUGAUGGACCAUCCUGGGUUGGUGCCUGUUACCACAGCACAAGGGGAGGAACUUCGUAGACAAAUUGGUGCUAUGUAUUACAUCGAAUGCAGUUCGAAGACACAGCAGUUGGCUUACUUUGUCGGUAACAUGUAGAAUGUCAAAGCUGUGUUCGAUGCUGCCAUCAAGGUUGUAAUCCAGCCUCCAACUAAACUAAGAGAAAAGAAGAAAAAGAAAUCACGCAAGGGAUGUUCGAUGGUGAACAUCUUAUCUGGAAGAAAAAUGCUAUGCUUCAAGUCCUGAAUGAUCGAAGGGGGUCUUACCUGAACUAAUACCAUGAGUGUGACCCCAAGUUCGCGAAGCUUGAAAUCUUGAUGCGCUCGUUGCGCAUGUAUAUUUGCACCUUUGGUUAUUAAUCACUAGAGGUAGAUGAUUGAAACUAAUCUGCUUAACCAAUGUGCACUGCUGGGCGCUGGCGUGGUUAGCUAUAUCAGUUAGGCAGUUCGACAGAGGUCAAAGAGAUUGAGAUUUUGUUCUUUCUUGGCAAUGUCACAGCUUUUGUGAAUCUGGUCUCAUCAUACUGUCCGCUAGUUUAUCCAAUGAUUCCAUGGUGGAAUCAAUCCAUAGCAACAUUGUGUUGAAUGAUCCUUUGCUUUUGCGCUAAGCAUAUAACAUUCCAGUUUUGGUGAAAGCUGGAAGUGAAA
Molecule: RNA transcript, 1414 nt
Organism: Zea mays
Lineage: Eukaryota; Viridiplantae; Streptophyta; Magnoliopsida; Poales; Poaceae
Gene name: GTPase protein
Exons: 8
Source: RefSeq, marked provisional